This 207-nucleotide ribosomal RNA is filed under the name uncultured bacterium. RNAcentral describes it as "partial 16S ribosomal RNA". It matches the Rfam family "Bacterial small subunit ribosomal RNA", at positions 587 to 793 of the family's 1533-position model. The record is from RNAcentral.
GUCUGAUGUGAAAGCCUUCGGCUUAACCGGAGAAGUGCAUCGGAAACUGGAUAACUUGAGUGCAGAAGAGGGUAGUGGAACUCCAUGUGUAGCGGUGGAAUGCGUAGAUAUAUGGAAGAACACCAGUGGCGAAGGCGGCUACCUGGUCUGCAACUGACGCUGAGACUCGAAAGCAUGGGUAGCGAACAGGAUUAGAUACCCUGGUAG